UUCCGGUUGAUCCCGCCGGACCUGACUGCUAUCGGAUUGAUACUAAGCCAUGCUAGUCUUUGUAGUAAUACAAGGCAUACGGCUCAGUAACGCGUAGUCAACCUGCCCUAUGGACGGGGAUAAUCUCGGGAAACUGAGCAUAAUACCCGACAGACCACUUAUCCUGGAAUGGUUAGUGGUUAAAAUGAUUCGUCGCCAUAGGAUGGGACUGCGGCCUAUCAGCUUGUUGGUGAGGUAAUGGCCCACCAAGGCGAUUACAGGUACGGGCUCUGAGAGGAGAGGCCCGGAGAUGGGUACUGAGACAAGGACCCAGGCCCUAUGGGGCGCAGCAGGCGAGAAAACUUUGCAAUGUGCGAAAGCACGACAAGGUUAAUCCGAGUGAUUUCUGCUAAAGGAAUCUUUUGUUAGUUCUAAAAAUACUAGUGAAUAAGGGGUGGGCAAGUUCUGGUGUCAGCCGCCGCGGUAAAACCAGCACCUCAAGUGGUCAGGAGGAUUAUUGGGCCUAAAGCAUCCGUAGCCUGUUCUAUAAGUUUGCGGUUAAAUCCAUAUGCUCAACGUAUGGGCUGCCGUAAAUACUGUAGAACUAGGGAGUGGGAGAGGUAGACGGUACUCGAUAGGAAGGGGUAAAAUCCUUUGAUCUAUUGAUGACCACCUGUGGCGAAGGCGGUCUACCAGAACACGUUCGACGGUGAGGGAUGAAAGCUGGGGGAGCAAACCGGAUUAGAUACCCGGGUAGUCCCAGCUGUAAACGAUGCAGACUCGAUGAUGCAAUGGCAUAGAGCUAUUGUAGUAUCGCAGGGAAGCCGUUAAGUCUGCCGCCUGGGAAGUACGUACGCAAGUAUGAAACUUAAAGGAAUUGGCGGGGGAGCACCACAAGGGGUGAAGCCUGCGGUUCAAUUGGAUUCAACGCCGGG
This 914-nucleotide ribosomal RNA is filed under the name uncultured marine archaeon. RNAcentral's name for it is "bacterial SSU rRNA". It matches the Rfam family "Archaeal small subunit ribosomal RNA", at positions 1 to 922 of the family's 1478-position model. The record is from RNAcentral.